AUGUCAACAUUCACAACUAUCCAGUUACCGCGUUGGGAUAGUGGCAAGCUGAAAGUUCGCUUCAUAUACUUGUCAAAUAGAAGCUCUUUCAAAGUGACGAGCUGUCCUAUCGAGGGAUCAAUGGUUCCUCUCUUUUUAGGGGCUGAUCUCUUCUCAAACACUGAUAUCCGCACAGAGAACCAUCCCAGAUAUCAUGCAAAGUUUGCAAAGAAAGGAUUGGCAACUAAACUAAAUUUCUCCUCAGCUUUUAGAUUCCAUGGACUGAGGGUACCCACUGCCAACAAUUGCAUGUGGUUCUACAGCAUCCAAGGUGUUUUUCGAGUGGCCUUUGAAAUGUAUAGUAAACAAGAGCAGCUCUCUGUGUUGGAGAACUUUCAGGAGGUAUGGAAGUCCCGCCUAAAUGACAUCCCACUAAAGAUGAACUACAACCUGAGUGUCCAGCUGGAUCCUCCACCACCCCAGAUCGUUGUGGAGAUGUAUGACCAAGACCUAAAGCUCAAACUAAUGUCCCGGAAUCCCCAAGGUUACCCAUCUCAAUCUGUGGAAAUCCCAGAGGCAGACACAGGCCCUUCAGGUGACACUUCAGCAGACCACGAUUACUGCUUUCUGCCAAAUGAGAGUAUGCCAGCACAGCCAGUCCAUCUAUGUCCCUCCAUCUUAAGUCAAAAACUGCAGGGCUUGGAGGAAAAGCUGAGCUCUGAGAAACAGCUGGGGACCGACCAGCAGGAGACCAUACUGCUUCUGUUGGAGAGCAUUGAGCGCUGUGUGAGCAGGCCCCUGGAGGAGAGGGAUGUGGCGGACAUUGUACUAGCUCUGCUAGAGGCUCGGAAGUGGGGCUCUGUGUACUCCAGCCACCUGCUUCACUCUAUAGGCUGCUGGCUUGGCCAGCAGUUCCAUGGAGCCAACAGUAGUAUCAGCCAGCAGGUAGAGGGCUUCAAGGUGCGACACAUAGAGCGAAUCACAGAUCUGCCACCUGCAGAGGAACUGGCCUCAGAGCUUUUUCCAGAGGCCAUGCGAACACUGCUGCUCCACUGGAUGGGUCUGAGUGAUGACUCAACCCUGUGGAAGAGACAGAGUGAGUACCCCAUCCUGCUCCUAAUCCUGGAGUUUGCCAACCACAACCUCAUCACUGGUGUUGCACAUGUGCUUUACUCAAGUCUUAAGGUGAAUUUAGAUUUAGCCAACUCAAAAGAGUUAAGUACCGAAGAAAGUAAAACUACUGUUGUAAAAAAAAAUACUCAAGUAAAAAUUACUUGA
Molecule: long non-coding RNA, 1257 nt
Organism: Oncorhynchus mykiss (rainbow trout)
Lineage: Eukaryota; Metazoa; Chordata; Actinopteri; Salmoniformes; Salmonidae
Source: Ensembl